Drosophila navojoa is the source of this 714-nucleotide long non-coding RNA. NCBI's taxonomy places the organism in Eukaryota, Metazoa, Arthropoda, Insecta, Diptera, Drosophilidae. The record is from RefSeq and is a predicted model, not a curated record.
AUUUGAAAAACUAUUCGUACACCAUUUUAUAAUUUUAUUUUGCUUCGCGUUGUGUUUUAUAAUGUUUGCAGAUCAAGCUCAUAAAACUUGUGGAUUAUAACUAUAAAAGUACACUUCACAGCACGAAGGCCACACAUGAUUAUUCGAUGCAUUUAAGCUCCGUCUGGGAUUUGUGAUUUAUAUUUUUCAUUUGCGUAAUUACAAAGCGGUACAUCAUUGGCGCAAUUAAACUGCAGUAAACUUGGACAGACGGCGGAGAGAACAAGACCUUCUGCCACUUGGCUGGCUCUCGUAUAAUUUAUAUUAAGUCGUUCUGAGGAAUGCACCGCCGAGUCGAGUGCUGCAGGAAGGCUGCGGGCUGGCCCAUAAACCCACAUUUCUGACGGGGCAGCCCUCGCGGCUCUCUAUGCGCAUACUACGCGGAGAGGAGCGGACCUGGAACUGGAACAGGAGUCGUAAAACACAGCUAUGGGCGACAGCGUCGAAGGAUUAAAAAAUGACUGCGUGACAAAGCAUUUUAUAAUCGUCAUCUGAUUCACUUAAAAACACAUUCAUCGCCGCCACCGCUGGCUCGAUGUCGGAGUUCAGACCCGCCGUGAAGCCGACUAGCGAUCCGAAUUUGGGCUCGGGCGAACCGCAAGGGCCAAAACAAGCCAUAAACCGCCUCAAUAAAAAUGUAUCAAAUUAAGGAAUAAAUUUCAUGUGCAACAGCAA